RNAcentral lists this ribosomal RNA (702 nucleotides) under uncultured bacterium. RNAcentral's name for it is "bacterial SSU rRNA". It matches the Rfam family "Bacterial small subunit ribosomal RNA", at positions 90 to 776 of the family's 1533-position model. The record is from RNAcentral.
AGCGAGCGGCGGAUGGGUGAGUAACACGUGGGGAACCUGGCCCCAUAGUCUAGGAUACCACUUGGAAACAGGUGCUAAUACCGGAUAAGAAAGCAGAAUCGCAUGAUCAGCUUUUAAAAGGCGGCGUAAGCUGUCGCUAUGGGAUGGCCCCGCGGUGCAUUAGCUAGUUGGUAAGGUAAAGGCUUACCAAGGCGAUGAUGCAUAGCCGAGUUGAGAGACUGAUCGGCCACAUUGGGACUGAGACACGGCCCAAACUCCUACGGGAGGCAGCAGUAGGGAAUCUUCCACAAUGGACGCAAGUCUGAUGGAGCAACGCCGCGUGAGUGAAGAAGGUUUUCGGAUCGUAAAGCUCUGUUGUUGGUGAAGAAGGAUAGAGGUAGUAACUGGCCUUUAUUUGACGGUAAUCAACCAGAAAGUCACGGCUAACUACGUGCCAGCAGCCGCGGUAAUACGUAGGUGGCAAGCGUUGUCCGGAUUUAUUGGGCGUAAAGCGAGCGCAGGCGGAAGAAUAAGUCUGAUGUGAAAGCCCUCGGCUUAACCGAGGAACUGCAUCGGAAACUGUUUUUCUUGAGUGCAGAAGAGGAGAGUGGAACUCCAUGUGUAGCGGUGGAAUGCGUAGAUAUAUGGAAGAACACCAGUGGCGAAGGCGGCUCUCUGGUCUGCAACUGACGCUGAGGCUCGAAAGCAUGGGUAGCGAACAGG